This 253-nucleotide ribosomal RNA is filed under the name uncultured bacterium. RNAcentral's name for it is "partial 16S ribosomal RNA". It matches the Rfam family "Bacterial small subunit ribosomal RNA", at positions 524 to 776 of the family's 1533-position model. The record is from RNAcentral.
GACAGGGGUCUCGAGCGUUAAUCGGAAUUACUGGGCUUAAAGGGUGCGUAGGCCGGCCCGCAAGUGACUUGUGAAAUCCCCCGGCUCAACCGGGGAACAGCUCGUCAUACUGCGGGUCUUGAGGAAGGUAGGGGUUGCCAGAACUGUAGGUGGAGCGGUGAAAUGCGUAGAUAUCUACAGGAAUGCCGAUGGUGAAGACGGGCAACUGGGCCUUUCCUGACGCUGAGGCACGAAAGCGUGGGGAGCAAACAGG